AAAUUUGUCAUUAGUAUUUGGGGGUUUCGCGGGGUCGGCUGUAGCAUCGGUUUAAAAAGGAUAUUUUUGUUAAAAUGGAAUGCAGGGCGAAGUUCAACAUUUCGCGAACAGAAUAGCAUUUGGCACAACUUUAAACAGAAAUAUUUGGCAAGUAGACAACAAAUUUCCAAAUAUCGGACCUCAAACUUAUUGCAAUCCUAACGACAAUUUCAUAGAUAUUUUGUCUCGAAAAAUUCGAAGUAAUCGAGGUGUGGGGUAUUUUGCAAGCACAUCAGUUUAUAAUCCAAUAAAAGUCAGAACUCCGUCACCUACAAGAUAUCAACCAAAUAUUAAGUUCGAAGAAAAGAAAAAAAUUUCAAUACCGUUCAAUUAUAAACAGUACAAGCCACCAAUAAGUACGACUCCUGGUCCAGGAACAUACAAUUUAAACAAGAAGAAGUGCAACAAAUUAAAUUAUUCCUGCGUUAAAGGUAAAGUUAAUAUGAAGCCUUGCGUUGACAUGCAUUGCAAUAAGCAUAUCACUCACACAUGCCACAAAUGCAAGAGUGUUUGUAAAGGCGAUUAUUUCCAUAAAAAUUUUGAAGUCUUUCUGUGUCAGUUGUGCUGGAUUCAACAACGGAUACAACGCGAUACUUACAAUUAUGAUGAACUCAAGAAAUUUAUCAAAAUUAGGGAUUGUACGCGGUUCCACAAGCAUAAUAUGCCGUCGAUUUAUGGAAACAUAGAGCCACGUCGGGAAAUAAUUAAACAACUUAGUUUAGAAAAUUAUUUAAAUAUGUACAUUACUGAUUUCGAUACAAAAAUCUAUUAAAUCAUGCAACGUAAA
Molecule: long non-coding RNA, 826 nt
Organism: Aethina tumida (small hive beetle)
Lineage: Eukaryota; Metazoa; Arthropoda; Insecta; Coleoptera; Nitidulidae
Exons: 2
Source: RefSeq, a predicted model, not a curated record